Molecule: unclassified non-coding RNA, 5719 nt
Filed under: Limulus polyphemus (Atlantic horseshoe crab)
Lineage: Eukaryota; Metazoa; Arthropoda; Merostomata; Xiphosura; Limulidae
Description: uncharacterized LOC106461935, transcript variant X1
Source: RNAcentral
UGAUUGCAGCUCUUGGGAACAACUGAUGAAGCCGAAUAGGAUUUAGCGUGUCAGUUCAUCGUUAGAAGAGAAGUCGGAUUACACAAACUUAAAUCCAGAUUUUAGAAAGUGCCCUUUACAAACCUGACCUGUCCGCCUGGCGAUACGCACAUUUCUGUUUAGCCAUGAACGUGAUGAGGCGGGUGUCAGUGUUUGUAAUGAUACUUACAGGGACUGUAAUACCUGAUAUGGUUCUUAGUCGACCAGCCGUAGGGAAUUCUGACUCAAAAUCAGGUUAUAUUUCAUUUCAAGGAGGAGCUUCCAACACUCCAGAAGAAAAGACAAACCACCAGAUGGCAAACUAUCCAGAGUUGCCAUCAGAAAAUCACCAUCAUCAGUAUUCACACAUGAUGUUCAGUCCAUUUUUACAAGAAGAAAUGAAUGAAAAUUUGAGAAGAGCUAAAACACAACAGAAAUAUGUUGAAAUGACCAACGAAAUUUUAGAACCAUAUAAAUUGUUUCUGGAAAAUCACAAUAAUAAUGCUAGGAGGUUUGAUAACUUUGAGAAUAAUCAUGUUGUUGGACAAAUAUCUAUGAAGGUUUAUCCACCAAAAAAAGUUUUUGAAGUUGAGGCGGAAGAAUAUCUUGAUAAAACAGGUGUGUUGGAGCCAAAAAGAAAAGACAUGGACGAGAUACCUUUUAAUGGAGAAAAGUGGGCUUACCCUUCUCCACAAGUUUCUGAGCUCCAGAAAGAUGAAUUGAAUGUUCCCCAUAAGUUCAAAGAAUAUGACAAACCCCAUGAUUUAUCACAUCAUGGUCCUGGCUACAAAGAAACUAAAGCAAAAUCUCCAGUUAGUGAUAUAUACUUUGUAGCAAUUGUAGCAGGAUGUUGUUCAGUUGCUACUUUUGGAGUAAUUGCUGCUGGAAUUUGCUUUUAUAGGUUUCAGAAGAAAAGUAAGGCAGCACGCAAUGUAGAGUAUCCAGCAUAUGGAGUGACUGGCCCAGGAAAUAAAGAGAAAACGUCUCCUAAUGGUGACCGCAAGCUGGCCCAUAGUGCACAGAUGUAUCAUUACCAGCAUCAGAAACACCAGAUGAUAUCAGUAGAAAAUGUCAACUCUUGUAGACUUGCCUCAGCUUCAGAUAUGGAGUCAGAAGAAGAAAAUGAUGAGGGUGAUUAUACUGUCUAUGAAUGUCCUGGUUUGGCAGUGACUGGAGAGAUGGAGGUUCAGAACCCACUCUUUAUAGAUGAAUCUGGACAAACUGUGUCUCAGCCACCCAAGGAGAACAACAAAUGACCAUCUUAAUAAUAGAUGUGAUGGAGAAAUUUGAGGUGUAAAUACUUCUUAUUACAUAAGUGUUUGAUUUAAGCUAUCUCAUCUUAAAACCUGAUAGAUAGUAAAAUAUUAUGUACAAAAUUAUUUGCUGGUACCAAUUUUAUUAUUGAAUCUUUUGCUAUGUAUUUCUGCCAUUGUUAUUCUUAUGCAUGUAUUGGUAUAUCGUGCUGUGAGUUAUUCCUGCCAUAUAUGUAUAUAUAUCUAUUACUCUGCAUAUGUUUUCCUUUUUUUUCUUAAUUGAACUGAAAAGAGAAAUGUGUAGAGCUUAAAAUCAAUACAAGUUAUACACUUAUAUUUUAUAGUAUCAAAUAAUGUUGUUAGGUAAUUAUUAAUAUUUUGGUCAUUACAAAUGGUAAUACCACUUUUCAAAAAUAUUAUGUUCAAGCUGUUUGAAUUAGCUAUUUUCCUAAUUCACUGUCAUAAGGCUUAAAUUAACUUUUAAUCAGUCACAUAAUCUUUAAACAUGGAAAUAUAUACUCUUAAAAGAAAUAUAUUCUAUCUAAUGAAAACAGGUAUUUUAAUGUGUGUGUAUCUACGUUUUGUGAUUAUAGAAGUAAUUGUUUCUAGCAGUUAACGUGAUAAUUACUCAUAAAAACUAUUGCUUGCUUUGUAUAAAAGUAAUAAGAAUAAUAUAGCACAAAGAACCUUGAAGCAGUAAUUUUUUUUAAAUAGGCCUAGCAUAUUAAUAUCCAUAAAAUGAAAUAAUGUGUAUUAUUGCUAAAAAUUUGAGUACACACCAAAAGUUAGAUUGCUUAUUUCAUGUUUUAAUCAUAGUACUAUUUUAUAUUUGUAUUUUUUUGUAUGCCUUCUUAUUGUUAUAUUGAUACAUUUGUAUAUUUAAUUAGCAAUUUAUUUUGGGGUAUUUUACAAGUAUACUGGCUCCACCUACAUAACUAAAAUUACUGUUUUUAUUCUUUUAAUAGUGUAUGUAGUCUUCUUUGUUUUUAUACACUGUUCAUAAAAUAUUUCUCAAAUAUCUUCAAAAUCUGAAUGCUGCUUAUAAAAAAUGACAUGUAAAUAUUGCUUCUUUUUUUGUAAGUUAUGAAGUUUUCUGUACAUAAAAGACUGCCAGUUCAUAACCAUGUGAGUUUCUAAAAUAUUUUUUGCUAUGUCAAAAAUUAAAAUACAAUUCUAAGAUGAUUGAAAGUAAAGAAGAAUGUAUAACAAUAUAUCAAGGUAAGCGAAUUGAUGAGAAGUAUAUUUUCUUAUAUAUUUCUAAGUUUGAUUGGCAUAUUUAUUAACCAGAGGCUAAUGAUUGAUAGCUAUUAUGAGCAUAAAACAUUUUAACUAAAGCAUGCUAUUUUACCAAACCUAUAAAGUUUUCUUAACCUAAAGUGAAAAUGUUAAAGUACCUCUACAAUUAUAUGUUCAUCAUCUUUGAAAUUAGAAAUCAUUCAUCGUUUCUGUGAUUUAUAAACUGAAUAUAAAUGAAUAUUGAAACAUACUGAAGCAUAGAGUGGAUACAUAAUUUUUUGAUAUUAGGAUAUCACAACUAAAUAUAAAAUUAUUCAGUGUGUAUUUUAACUGUUAUAGUUAGAAGUAACUAUAAGUUCAAGGCGUUUUUUCAGUUAUAUAAUUUUUGAUAUUGCUUACAACUAUCUGUCUAUUAAUAUGUGAUAUUGGAAUAAUGAGGUAAGUCUAUAACUGUGACUAAAUCUUGCAAAUACGUGCACUAAUUUUUUGUUUAAUGUAAAAAUAGAAACAAAAAUGUCUAGUUAUUUAGGCCUAUUCCUAAAAUUAGAAGUUUUGCUGUACACAGUAUUUACAUAAUACAUGAAACUGCUGCAGUAUUGUUGAAAACAUGAAAUCUUACAUCUUGUGCAAUAUAAUUACUGUACAGUUUGUUUGUUUGAAGUUAAGCACAAUGGGCUAUCUGUGCUCUGCCCACCACGGGUAUUGAAAAUACGGUUUCUAGUGUUUUAAGUCUGCAGACAUACCGCUGUGCCACUGGGGGGGCUACUGUACAGGACACCAUAGCUUCCAUACUUUUUAAGUUAUUUUAUACUACAGGGUAUAAGGAGGUAUCAUAACAAACUACUGAUGUUUUUAACUGAAUGUUCAAGGGUUUGUUCCAUUGGAGUGACUCCAUAUUAGAGAAGUAAUGUUGUCUGUAAUUCUGAAUUUAUGAAGUGUUUGCUCAUGAAAUGUGGCAAACUUUUAUUCAACAGUAUAAGUCUGUUUUACAGAAAAAAAAGUUGGAUAUGUUACUAAAGUUUUUGUAUGAAAGAUAUGUGCAUAUGGGAUGUCAAUCAGGUUGACUCAGACUAUGACAAGUCUGAGCCCAAGGUGAUGUUUAUAUGAAGGAAAAUAAUUUCGUCUAUUAUGUAGUUUGCAUAGUUAGGCCUUGUGUAUCUAUGUGCAAAUAUAUAUUUAAAAAAAUAUUGCAUGCUCUGUUAUACAGUACUGAGAUUUCAUGUUCUACAUAUAUAUAUAUAUAUAUAUAAAAAUUUAUAUUGUAUUUACUAUUUAUUUGAACUAUUUGGUUUACACAUAGAAUGGGAAGAGAGAACUGCAAAUAUCUGAAUGAUGUGUAUCUACAUAUUGAACCUCGUACUAUUCAGUUACCUAAAAGAUACAAUGUAGAUCCUACUGAUACACAUACAUGAUGAGACAAAUAUCAAAGAUAAUAAAUACUCCAUAGUGGAUUUGGAACUGUACUAUAUUCAUCCACAUUAUAUUUAGCUUUCAAGUUUAUUUAUGUGCUUGGGUUAUCAUAUUCACAUUUUCUUUUUAACAAAUGUAUAUAUAUCAUCAAUGUCUACUUUCUUACAGAGAUUAUAAGUACAAUUAUAAGUCAUUUCUUUAAAAGUCUAUCCACUUGCAGACAUCUUUUUGAUAAGCUAUUGUUCCUACAGUCUUAAUCAGGAAGGAGAAUGUCAAAUAUUUGUUAUUGUAGUUACAGAACAGUAUCUGUAGUUGCCAUCAAAAUAUUGUGGUUUCUAUAAGAUAAGAAAAAUGCUACAGAAUAGAAUAAAAAAAUACUACCCAGUAAUAAUAAUUUAUGACUGUAAUAUGACAGUGAAGGCCACAUUUGAAUAAUUGUGUUUACUCAUUGUAUAUUACUUUCUUUUUUGAACAUUAAAAUUGUUACAUCCAACCACUUUAUGGUUACUGAAAUAACUUACAUUUAAUCAGUGGUAAGUGCUACAUUAUUGGAAUAGUUAUAUCCAAGCAUUGUAGGUCUCUGCAAGUAUCUUUACUAUUCUGUAAGAUGUAUAAAGGGAAGCUAACCAGGAUAAGUUAUCUUAUAACACAUAUCUACACCAAAACUACUUUAUUAGCAACAUUCAAAGUGGUUGCCAUGGCUUGAAUACUGUGAUGCUAAGUUAAGGAACGUGCAGUUGUUUUUCUAGUGUCAUUGUUUGAGUUGUUACAUCUGUAAGUCAGUGUUGUAAGUUGAAUUAAUAAGGGUACUGGUAAGUGGUUUGCACUGACUAAGCCAUAGGAACAGUGAACAUCAUAAGAACACAUUGCUAAGUUCUUGAUGCAGUUACAAGCAUAUUCAUUCCAUAUAGUUCAAGUUUUUUCAUGUCACAAUUAAAAUAAAUGUAUUUUUCUGUUUAGUGGUAUGAAAGUGAUAAUUGCAUUGAAAAUAGCACUAUCUCUGAAAAUUUUGCAAGCACUAAUAAAAGAUUAAAAAAAUAUUAAUUCAUGAUGUUUUUAUAAUGUUACACUCUGUUGAAAAGAAUCAAUCAUUAGGGAUAAUUAAGAGAAUGAAGAAAAUUUUGAUAAGACCUUCAAUAGUGUGCAAAAAGUAAAAGUAUCAUGAAAUUAAAAUGUAUUAAUGACUAUAUGUAAAUGCUAAGUGAAUAAAUACAUGGUUAUAAACCUCUUGUGAAGAAAUGUGAAAGUAAGUUUUACCUCAGUAGAGAAAUGGUUAUGAACUUUGUGGCAACUCAGGGGAAAAAAAAAAAAGGUUUAUGUAAAAACUGUUGAAUGGUAUUCGUUGUUGUUUAAAUAGAGAUUUUUUUAUUGAAUUUGAAUUAUCAUCUUUCAUUCUAGUAGUUUAUAUAUACAUAUAUAAAUGGUGGUAGAAUUAUUAUGCACAUCUGCGUGUUAUUGUGUGCUGUGUUGUUUUCAACUUGCUCAUAUUUGUUGUGUUUAUUAGAAAUUUUUGAAGCUAUGAUUAUCUUACAAGUUCACAUAAAUAUAUAAAUUAUUAACUUCACUACAUGUAAAAUAUGCUGGGUUCAUUACUUAUAAUAGUUUUAGAAGUACAUACUCUUCAUGUAUUAAGGAAUUUAAGUAGCAAUUUUACCAUAUUGUUUUUUUUAAAUUUGCUGGGAUGAUCUGUUUUCUAAAAGUCUGUCAUGAAAAUACCUGGUACACAUUUUUCUGAGGAUAGGUAUGAAAUGCAAAUCUGUAAAAUAUUUUUUUUGAGACUUAAUAAAGAUUAGCUGUUUAUA